RNAcentral lists this ribosomal RNA (253 nucleotides) under uncultured bacterium. RNAcentral describes it as "partial 16S ribosomal RNA". It matches the Rfam family "Bacterial small subunit ribosomal RNA", at positions 524 to 776 of the family's 1533-position model. The record is from RNAcentral.
UACGUAGGGUGCGAGCGUUAAUCGGAAUUACUGGGCGUAAAGCGCACGUAGGCGGCUUCUUAAGUCGGUGGUGAAAUCCUGGAGCUCAACUCCAGAACUGCCUUCGAUACUGGGAAGCUCGAGUCCGGGAGAGGUGAGUGGAAUUCCCAGUGUAGCGGUGAAAUGCGUAGAUAUUGGGAGGAACACCAGUGGCGAAGGCGGCUCACUGGACCGGUACUGACGCUGAUGCGCGAAAGCGUGGGGAGCAAACGGG